GACGAACGCUGGCGGCGUGCUUAACACAUGCAAGUCGAACGGGCCCGCUCUCUUUUUUGGGGGUGGGUUGAGUGGCGAACGGGUGAGUAUCACGUGAGUAACCUGCCCCCUGCUCCUGGAUAACUGCUUGAAAGGGCGGCUAAUACGGGGUGUGCCGGCUGGUCCGCAUGGGCCUGGUCGGGAUAGUUUCAUCUUCGGGUGUUUCGGUGGGGGAUGGGCUCGCGGCCUAUCAGCUUGUUGGUGGGGUGAUGGCCCACCAAGGCGGUGACGGGUAGCCGGCGUGAGAGGGUGGGCGGCCACACUGGGACUGAGACACGGCCCAGACGCCUGCGGGAGGCAGCAGUGGGGGGUAUUGCACAAUGGGCGGAAGCCUGAUGCAGCGACGUCGCGUGAGGGAUGGAGGCCUUCGGGUUGUGAACCUCUUUCUCCGGUGGUGAAGGCCCUGUCCGUUGCGGCGGGGUUGACGGUAGCCGGGGAUGAAGCGCCGGCUAACUACGUG
Molecule: ribosomal RNA, 499 nt
Filed under: uncultured bacterium
Lineage: Bacteria
Description: partial 16S ribosomal RNA
Rfam family: Bacterial small subunit ribosomal RNA
Source: RNAcentral